UGGCUCAGUUGGUAGAGCAUGGUGUUUGCAACGCCAGGGUUGUGGGUUCUAUUCCCAC
Molecule: non-coding RNA, 58 nt
Organism: Salmo salar (Atlantic salmon)
Lineage: Eukaryota; Metazoa; Chordata; Actinopteri; Salmoniformes; Salmonidae
Source: Rfam